Molecule: ribosomal RNA, 453 nt
Filed under: uncultured bacterium
Lineage: Bacteria
Description: bacterial SSU rRNA
Rfam family: Bacterial small subunit ribosomal RNA
Source: RNAcentral
AUGCCGGAUUGAAAGCUGGAGGCAUCUUUGGUUUUCAAGCUGGGGCCGUAAGGCUGGCGCUUCUGAUGAGCCGCGGCCUAUAGCUAGUUGUAAGGUAACGCUUACCAAGCUAAGACGGUAGCUGGUUGAGAGGACACCAGCCACCUGGAACUGGGCACGGUCAGACACCUAGGGUGGCAGAGUCGAGAAUUUUCACAAGGGCGCAAGCUGAUGGAGGACGCCGCGGGGGGAUGAUGGCUUCGGCCGUAAACCCUGUCAUUUCGAUCAACCUUAUUGUUUAGAGAUGAUACCUGAUAGAGCGAAAGAGAAGGGACGCUAACUCUGGCCAGCAGCGCGGUAAUAAGAGGUCCCAGCGUUGUUGGAUUCACUGGCGUAAAGGUGCGUAGGGGCGGGGUAGUCGGAUGUAAAUCUCCGGCUCAACUCGGAAAUGGCAUUGGAAACUGCUCUGCUCGA